This is a small nucleolar RNA of Sorex fumeus (smoky shrew), 136 nucleotides long. RefSeq annotates it as U8 small nucleolar RNA. The record is from RefSeq and is a predicted model, not a curated record. The transcript has a single exon. NCBI's taxonomy places the organism in Eukaryota, Metazoa, Chordata, Mammalia, Eulipotyphla, Soricidae.
UCAUCCACUAUGAUAAUUCUUGCCUGUUAGUCUAUCUAAGAGGGCAGAUAAAAAUGAUUAUUCAAGAUUGCAUGAUUCGUGUUUAAGGUCUCUGCAUGAUUAGGGCUCAAGAAAAACAAAUUCAAUUUAAUUUAAU